Molecule: transfer RNA, 71 nt
Filed under: Dipodomys ordii (Ord's kangaroo rat)
Lineage: Eukaryota; Metazoa; Chordata; Mammalia; Rodentia; Heteromyidae
Rfam family: tRNA
About the family: Transfer RNA (tRNA) molecules are approximately 80 nucleotides in length. Their secondary structure includes four short double-helical elements and three loops (D, anti-codon, and T loops).
Source: Rfam by way of RNAcentral
GGGAAGAUGGCUCAGUGGUAGAGUGCUUGCCUUGCAUGCAUGAGGCCCUGGGUUCGAUUCCUCAGUACCCA